RNAcentral lists this ribosomal RNA (193 nucleotides) under uncultured bacterium. Its description in RNAcentral is "partial 16S ribosomal RNA". It matches the Rfam family "Bacterial small subunit ribosomal RNA", at positions 1308 to 1500 of the family's 1533-position model. The record is from RNAcentral.
AACUACGCCUGCAUGAAGUCGGAAUUGCUAGUAAUCGCAGAUCAGCAUGCUGCGGUGAAUACGUUCCCGGGCCUUGUACACACCGCCCGUCACACCAUGGGAGUCGGUAACACCCGAAGCCUGUAGUCUAACCGCAAGGAGGACGCAGUCGAAGGUGGGAUUGAUGACUGGGGUGAAGUCGUAACAAGGUAGC